RNAcentral lists this long non-coding RNA (426 nucleotides) under Phoenix dactylifera (date palm). RNAcentral's name for it is "long non-coding RNA (PDAC_LNC000217)". The record is from RNAcentral. Lineage: Eukaryota; Viridiplantae; Streptophyta; Magnoliopsida; Arecales; Arecaceae.
GGAUAGCUUGUGAGGCUAUUCACCUUGGUCUAUCCAAGAUAAUGGUAAUGGCAUCAUGUAUAGCAAUCAUCUUCUCAAUAAAUAAUAUUCAAUAAUAUUCAAAUUUAUGUUAAUUGAGUUCUCUUUAUUGGCGUUAAACAACUUAAUUAAGAGAAAACAAAUCAAGGUAAAAGGAAUGAAAAGUAGAAAGAACCACUAUACUCCUACAAAGCUGGGUAUGGGUCCCACCAUCCCAAGCCAGGAAAGCCCAACCAGACAGCACCACCAACCUACCUCACCGCCCGUGCUAAACUGGCUCUUCAAAUGAUGUCAAAAAGGGUUUAGGAGAGCUCUGCUUUUUUCUUUUUCUUCUUCUUCUUUUUUUUAAUGCAACUCUGCUUAAAUCAUUUCAGAUGUAAAACCCUAACUUGGCAGGUGCAGCAGCCA